UUGAAUUCUCAAUAACGUAUGUGAACCUGCUGAACCUUGGAUCAUAAGUUUGUAGACGCUGUUGGGGUCAUACCUGCGGCUUAACAGGCCUAAGUGCCAAGGGUAGGCGUUAAAACUGGCGGACUUUGAGCCGUCAGUCUAUUUUUAACCACCCUUUAAUCAUGAUUAUUACUGAACAUUUUAAAACUAAAAA
This 193-nucleotide unclassified non-coding RNA is filed under the name soil metagenome. RNAcentral's name for it is "partial internal transcribed spacer 1". The record is from RNAcentral.